RNAcentral lists this long non-coding RNA (298 nucleotides) under Setaria viridis. RNAcentral describes it as "long non-coding RNA (SVIR_LNC003630)". The record is from RNAcentral. Lineage: Eukaryota; Viridiplantae; Streptophyta; Magnoliopsida; Poales; Poaceae.
GGGAGUCUUUCGGGAAUUUCUAAUAUUAUUUUACUCAAAACCCUUUAGUUCCAAUUGGUAUUUGCAACCGGGAAUAAAGAUGUGCCUAGUCCCGGUUGGGAAAACCGAAAUCUAUGAAAUUUAUUAACGAACCAGAGGAAAUCUUUUUUUUCCGACGUGCUUAUGUGAUCAAGUACAAUAGACUGGGUAUUCGUUCUCUGAGUAAAUUAUUGCACAUAUGGGUUGUGGAGGACCAUUUAUUUAAAUGAAUUAAUGUAUAUUCAGACCUAGAAUUUAUUUUUUCAAGUGUAUGUGUUAG